CCUACGGGAGGCAGCAGUAGGGAAUUUUCGUCAAUGGGCGCAAGCCUGAACGAGCAAUGCCGCGUGAACGAGGAAGGUCUUCGGAUCGUAAAGUUCUGUUGAAGGGGAAAAAGAGCGGAGAGAGGAAAUGAACUCCGAUUGAUAUUACCCUUCGAGGAAGUCACGGCUAACUACGUGCCAGCAGCCGCGGUAAUACGUAGGUGGCGAGCGUUAUCCGGAAUGAUUGGGCGUAAAGGGUGCGUAGGCUGUGAGGUAAGUCAGCGGUGAAAUGCCCCCGCUCAACGGGGUGAAGUGCCAUUGAUACUGCCUGGCUGGAAUGCGGAUGCCGGGGGAGGAAUGUGUGGUGUAGCGGUGAAAUGCAUAGAUAUCACACAGAACACCGAUUGCGAAGGCAGCUCACGAAUCCGCGAUUGACGCUGAUGCACGAAAGCGUGGGUAUCAAACAGGAUUAGAUACCCCGGUAGUC
This 466-nucleotide ribosomal RNA is filed under the name uncultured bacterium. RNAcentral's name for it is "partial 16S ribosomal RNA". It matches the Rfam family "Bacterial small subunit ribosomal RNA", at positions 338 to 795 of the family's 1533-position model. The record is from RNAcentral.